RNAcentral lists this ribosomal RNA (550 nucleotides) under uncultured Bacillus sp. RNAcentral's name for it is "bacterial SSU rRNA". It matches the Rfam family "Bacterial small subunit ribosomal RNA", at positions 119 to 651 of the family's 1533-position model. Lineage: Bacteria; Bacillati; Bacillota; Bacilli; Caryophanales; Bacillaceae. The record is from RNAcentral.
GGGUAACCUGCCUGUAAGACUGGGAUAACUCCGGGAAACCGGGGCUAAUACCGGAUGGUUGUUUGAACCGCAUGGUUCAAACAUAAAAGGUGGCUUCGGCUACCACUUACAGAUGGACCCGCGGCGCAUUAGCUAGUUGGUGAGGUAACGGCUCACCAAGGCGAUGAUGCGUAGCCGACCUGAGAGGGNGAUCGGCCACACUGGGACUGAGACACGGCCCAGAACUCCUACGGGAGGCAGCAGUUAGGGAAUCUUCCGCAAUGGACGAAAGUCUGACGGAGCAACGCCCCGUGAGUGAUGAAGGUUUUCGGAUCGUAAAGCUCUGUUGUCAGGGAAGAACAAAUACCGUUCGAAUAGGGCGGGACCUUGACGGUACCUAACCACAAAGCCACGGGUAACUACGUGCCCCAGCCGCGGUAAUACUUAUGUGGCAAGCGUUGUUCCGGAAUUAUUGGGCGUAACCGGCUCUCAGGCGGCGUCUUUAAAUCUGUAUGUGAAAACCCCCGGCUUACCCGGGAGGGGCAUUGGAAACUGGGGAACUCUUAUCCCU